This 22-nucleotide small RNA is filed under the name Arabidopsis thaliana (thale cress). RNAcentral describes it as "ATSL139980". The record is from RNAcentral. Lineage: Eukaryota; Viridiplantae; Streptophyta; Magnoliopsida; Brassicales; Brassicaceae.
AUGUUUUCUUUCUCUUUUUUUU